This 164-nucleotide ribosomal RNA is filed under the name Asarum forbesii. Its description in RNAcentral is "5.8S ribosomal RNA". It matches the Rfam family "5.8S ribosomal RNA". Rfam says of the family: 5.8S ribosomal RNA (5.8S rRNA) is a component of the large subunit of the eukaryotic ribosome. Lineage: Eukaryota; Viridiplantae; Streptophyta; Magnoliopsida; Piperales; Asaraceae. RNAcentral also lists the same sequence under 12 other names. The record is from RNAcentral.
AUCACGACUCUCGGCAACGGAUAUCUUGGCUCUUGCAUCGAUGAAGAACGUAGCGAAAUGCGAUACUUGGUGUGAAUUGCAGAAUCCCGUGAACCAUCGAGUCUUUGAACGCAAGUUGCGCCCGAGACCUUUAGGUUGAGGGCACACCUGCUUGGGCGUCAUGC